GGAGCUUGUGAGUAAGGCAAUGUUAUCAAGAACUAUAACAUAAUUUUAUAAAAGGGUGCAAACAUGGCAAUGCUGAUGACCUUGCUUACUUCAGUGAAAUAAUAGGAGCCAUGAGAGGAGAAUGUCACCUGCUCCCUGACACAUCCUUCCAGAUUAACUACUAUAUACCAGCACAAUCCCAAGCAAAAGCAAAACACCCUGCCAAAGGUGCAAGUGACCAGGUUAUGCCAUCCCAGAAUGCACCCAAUCGUCAGCACAGAGAUGGUAGGAUCUUGUCCAAAGUGCAUCUGACCUGGCUCUGAAACGAGUUCCCACAACCAGCAAUUGUCGUAAGCCAGACCUUUCAAUACUUGGGACAAUUUACUCCUGUGAAACAUAAAGAAAAAGAUUUAAAUGCUCUUUGCAAUCUCUUGUGGCUCCAAAAACAUCAUGAUUCCUCAAUCAACUAGUACUUGGCACCUAGGGACACCCCAAAAAUGUGGCUCUGUGAAUGGAUUUCUCCAGUGUGUAUGAAGAGACAGGAGCCCUCUGGCCUCUGUGAGCUUCCAUGAUCUUCUAUCAAAGAAUAUGCUUUGGAGAUGAAAGCCAGCAACUAGUUGUGAAGCACAACUACAGGCAUUCUGCAUUUAAUGACCGAAUUGUGUUCCCACUACUAGAUCAUUCACUGAAUUGAUUACUAAAUGAGUUAUAUAUAAUAUGUACAUUACAAUAUUCAGAAUAAAGAAAUGAUCAAAGAAAACUC
Chinchilla lanigera (long-tailed chinchilla) is the source of this 742-nucleotide long non-coding RNA. RefSeq lists it as uncharacterized. The record is from RefSeq and is a predicted model, not a curated record. NCBI's taxonomy places the organism in Eukaryota, Metazoa, Chordata, Mammalia, Rodentia, Chinchillidae. The transcript is spliced from 3 exons.